Sebastes umbrosus (honeycomb rockfish) is the source of this 1601-nucleotide long non-coding RNA. RefSeq lists it as uncharacterized. The transcript has 3 exons. Lineage: Eukaryota; Metazoa; Chordata; Actinopteri; Perciformes; Sebastidae. The record is from RefSeq and is a predicted model, not a curated record.
CAAAAGUAGCUAGCAGCACUAACUCCAAAAGUCGCUAAAAGUCGCCAAAUGACGUUAUACGCUCAUUUGCAUAUUGGCAACAUCAUCACACAUAUAUUUGCAUAAAGCUUCUGUCGGUUGCAGUGAGGGAGAGACUGCCUGCACAUGGCCCAAAAGGAGAGAGAGAGAGACCGGGUGCUGCUGGUGGAAGAGCCGUGGACUACCAUUACUCUGAGCAGCAACAUUUUAAAGACGAACAUACAUCCAACGAUGAAAACCUGAGCAAGAACUUCUCUGACGGGUUUGGGCUGGCCGCUCGUGGGGCCUACGCUAUGGCUAUAGCUGCUGAUGCAGACUUGAGCAUCCGGAGAGUAUCUUUAUCUCUUUUCCUCUCUCCCAGAUGGUUGGAGAUAGCAGCUCUCCAGUUGCUGACAUAGAACGGUCCCCUGUUCUUUGUUUCCACUGGUGACAGGCAGAGCGGAUGGCGGCUUUUCUUUUUUCAGUGGGUGAGAUAUGAUUGUGCAGCACUCUCCCACACACACACGCACACGCAAACACACACACACACACACACACACACACACACACACACACACACACCAAGGACACAAGAAGUCAUCCAUAUAGCCUCCCUCUAUGUGUUUACACCUCCUUGUGAGAGCCGGAGUGUGUGCAUCUGAUUGGUCGCCUUUUUGCAAGAGUGGUUUGUUUAUGAUACUCACCUUUGUGUGUGUGUGUGUGUGUGUGUGUGUCCUGUACUUAAAGUCAGACAGGAAGAGAAAAGUAGUACCAGUAGUACCCUAGCCCACACACACACACACACACACACACACACACACAAGUUGUCAUGAGACUGUCAGCAAUGGCUUUGGCUGCAGCUCCUGCGGGCAUGUGGUCUUGCCACCUAUAAUCUACAAUGAGCAGAAAUGAGUUUCCUUUGUAGACGCCGCCUUUCCUGCCCUGGACACACACAUACUGUAUUUACUCUCUCUCUGUCUCUUUCCCUUCCUCUCUCUCUCUUUUUUACACACACUCACACACCUAAUCAUAUAUGCAGCUGGUGUAAUAAUAAGGCAGUAGUGGAAUAACUACUGAGACAGGGUGAUAUUUCACAACCCCAAUAAUUGGAUACGUCUCUAUUCCCUAAUUACUAACUAAAUCAUAUACGCUGCAGCGCCAUGCCACGCAGAUGAAACACACUGACACACACACACACAUUCAGCUGUCCAGCAAAUUUGUGCACAAGUGUGUUCAGACACCAAUGUGUCCGUCCGUGACUCACAUGUCAUCCAUGUAUGUAAACAGUCUUUUUCUCUCUGUCUAUUGCACAAGCUGAUGUUUUCUGCAACACCGUAAUGUGUGUUUAUAGACAGUUAAAGUGAGAAAGUGUUGGUUAUCUAUAUGCAUUAUAAAGGGUGUGUCUUUUGAGGAGAAGCAGCACUACAUGAAGUCAUAAACCCUUGAGGCACGAGAUGGGUGUUUUGUGUUAGAGCUGAUGUCAGCACACAGAAAAGGACAGUGUGUCAUGUCAACGUUUUAAAGACCUGUACCACCUGUAUAUCACUUCAUGUGCUGGUGGUGUUUCCACAUUCUAUUCUGUAAAUCACCAAACCAUUAAAAGA